Molecule: ribosomal RNA, 406 nt
Filed under: uncultured bacterium
Lineage: Bacteria
Description: partial 16S ribosomal RNA
Rfam family: Bacterial small subunit ribosomal RNA
Source: RNAcentral
AUUGAACGCUGGCGGCAGGCCUAACACAUGCAAGUCGAACGAGUGGCGUACGUGUGAGUAAUGUCUGGGACACUUACUGAUGGAGGGGGAUCACUACUGGACACGGUCACUACUCCCGCAUACCAUCGUAUGUGCCGAUAUGGGAUUAGCUAGUAGGUGGGGCAAAGGCGCACCUAGGCGACGAUCCAUAGCUGGUCUGUGAGGAUGAACAGCCACACGGGAACUGAGACACGGUCCAGACGCCUACGGGAGGCAGCAGUGGGGAAUAUUGCACAAUGGGCGAAAGCCUGAUGCAGCCAUGCCGCGUGUAUGAAGAAGGCCUUCGGGUUGUAAAGUACUUUCAGCGGGGAGGCGUUACCCGCAGAAGAAGCACCGGCUAACUCCGUGCCAGCAGCCGCGGUAAUAC